GAUGAAGAACGUAGCGAAAUGCGAUACGUAAUGUGAAUUGCAGAAUUCAGUGAAUCAUCGAGUCUUUGAACGCACAUUGCGCCCCCUGGUAUUCCGGGGGGCAUGCCUGUCCGAGCGUCAUUGCUGCCCUCAAGCACGGCUUGUGUGUUGGGCCUCCGUCCUCCUCCCGGGGGACGGGCCCGAAAGGCAGCGGCGACACCGCGUCCGGUCCUCGAGCGUAUGGGGCUUCGUCACCCGCUCUUGUAGGCCCGGCCGGCGCUUGCCGACACAUCAAUCUUUUUUCCAGGUUGACCUCGGAUCAGGUAGGGAUACCCGCUGAACUUAAGAAUAUCAAUAAGCGGAGGA
RNAcentral lists this unclassified non-coding RNA (345 nucleotides) under soil metagenome. RNAcentral's name for it is "partial contains 5.8S ribosomal RNA, internal transcribed spacer 2, and large subunit ribosomal RNA". The stretch from base 1 to 120 matches the Rfam family "5.8S ribosomal RNA", at positions 35 to 154 of the family's 154-position model. The record is from RNAcentral.